UAGGAUGUAGCUCAGUGAUAGAGCGAUUGCCUGAUGUGCAAGAGACCCUCUGGGUUCAAUCUCUCAUACUAA
This 72-nucleotide transfer RNA is filed under the name Fukomys damarensis (Damara mole-rat). It matches the Rfam family "tRNA". Rfam says of the family: Transfer RNA (tRNA) molecules are approximately 80 nucleotides in length. Their secondary structure includes four short double-helical elements and three loops (D, anti-codon, and T loops). Lineage: Eukaryota; Metazoa; Chordata; Mammalia; Rodentia; Bathyergidae. The record is from Rfam by way of RNAcentral.